UACGGGGGGGCAAGCGUUGUUCGGAAUUACUGGGCGUAAAGGGCUUGUAGGUGGCCAACUAAGUCAGACGUGAAAUCCCCCGGCUUAACCGGGGAACUGCGUCCGAUACUGGUUGGCUUGAGUUUGGGAGAGGGAUGCGGAAUUCCAGGUGUAGCGGUGAAAUGCGUAGAUAUCUGGAGGAACACCGGUGGCGAAGGCGGCAUCCUGGACCAAUACUGACGCUGAGGAGCGAAAGCCAGGGGAGCAAACGGG
RNAcentral lists this ribosomal RNA (252 nucleotides) under uncultured bacterium. RNAcentral describes it as "partial 16S ribosomal RNA". It matches the Rfam family "Bacterial small subunit ribosomal RNA", at positions 524 to 776 of the family's 1533-position model. The record is from RNAcentral.